GCUGUAGUAACCAAGUCAUUCCACCCCUUCCCUCUUUCGUCCGUUUAGUACCUUUGUGUGCGCGUGUUUUGUGAAGAAUAGAGAGGAUGGCUGCGGAGAUGGAGUUCAGAGAGGGAGAUAUGGUCGUUUGAAGGGGUUACUGGUUUUUGUGGUGGUCGUGAGUGAGUUGAAGAAGCAACAUCAAUUGCUUGUUAGUUGUCACCGGUCAUUACUUGGGAAGAAGAAGGGUGUUCUGGGUGUGCAACUAGGUUUUCCGGCGGCUUUCAUGUGGUGAGGGAGCAGCGGCAGAAGGGUGAGAGGCGCUAAAGUGGUGCGAGGGAAAUGGAUAGAGAAGAAGUAGCGGGUCCUUUGGGUGAGGGUUUUGCGGCUGGUUUGUGUUGUUAUAGGAAGAAGGUAGCCGAUGAAGGGGGGGGGGGGUCUUUUGUUUAUGGCUGCUGCGACUGAUCUCCAAAGUUAGGUAGUGAGGGUUCACAUGAUAAACAACUGGGNNNNNNNNNNNNNNNNNNNNNNNNNUUCACGAUGAGAGAUGGCGGGGGGGGGGGGGGACAUUUUUUUGGUUCUAGCGUUAGGUUUCUAGAGUUAUUUUAGGUCCGUUGCGGCUGAUUUGUGUUGAAUGGGGCAGGGGUCGAUGCUUCUCUAGGUUAGAAAAUUAGGUCUCAAGUUUUUUGUUGUUCCAUUUUUUAUGAAGAAGAAGCAACGACUGGGGGGUUC
RNAcentral lists this long non-coding RNA (711 nucleotides) under Nicotiana tabacum (common tobacco). Its description in RNAcentral is "long non-coding RNA (NTAB_LNC004888)". The record is from RNAcentral. Lineage: Eukaryota; Viridiplantae; Streptophyta; Magnoliopsida; Solanales; Solanaceae.